RNAcentral lists this ribosomal RNA (119 nucleotides) under Arabidopsis suecica. Lineage: Eukaryota; Viridiplantae; Streptophyta; Magnoliopsida; Brassicales; Brassicaceae. The record is from RNAcentral.
AGAUGCGAUCAUACCAGCACUAAUGCACCGGAUCCCAUCAGAACUCCCCAGUUAAGUGUGCUUGGGCGAGAGUAGUACUAGGAUGGGUGACCUCCUGGAAAGUCCUCGUGUUGCAUCCC